This 510-nucleotide ribosomal RNA is filed under the name uncultured bacterium. Its description in RNAcentral is "partial 16S ribosomal RNA". It matches the Rfam family "Bacterial small subunit ribosomal RNA", at positions 28 to 507 of the family's 1533-position model. The record is from RNAcentral.
GACGAACGCUGGCGGCGUGCUUAACACAUGCAAGUCGAACGAAGAGCGAUGGAAGCUUGCUUCUAUCAAUCUUAGUGGCGAACGGGUGAGUAACGCGUAAUCAACCUGCCCUUCAGAGGGGGACAACAGUUGGAAACGACUGCUAAUACCGCAUACGAUCUGACCUCGGCAUCGAGGAUAGAUGAAAGGUGGCCUCUACAUGUAAGCUAUCACUGAAGGAGGGGAUUGCGUCUGAUUAGCUAGUUGGAGGGGGAACGGCCCACCAAGGCGAUGAUCAGUAGCCGGUCUGAGAGGAUGAACGGCCACAUUGGGACUGAGACACGGCCCAGACUCCUACGGGAGGCAGCAGUGGGGAAUCUUCCGCAAUGGACGAAAGUCUGACGGAGCAACGCCGCGUGAGUGAUGACGGCCUUCGGGUUGUAAAGCUCUGUUAAUCGGGACGAAAGGCCUUUUUGCGAAUAGUGAGAAGGAUUGACGGUACCGGAAGAGAAAGCCACGGCUAACUACGUG